AAAGCAGAAGAAUUGGAAUAUAUUACAUAUGAAAACAAGAUUAUAAAUGUAUAAGGAGAAUGGCUGGCCGAACAGUAUUGUUCUGAUAUAUAUUGAUCUGAUAUAUGAAGACGAUUCUCCGAGCAACAACGAAUGCAGCGUAGCAGCAUCACAUCCAUAAGAACAACCGGAAUAUGGUUUACAAAUUUAAUUAUCUAGGAACUUCGUUUAGUCCUAUUUUUAAAUAUUUCUCAGAGAAGAUUGUGUUUCAAUGUUUGCUAAGGGCACUUGAGAAUAACGCAUAUAUUAGUAACUAAAUUAAUAGGCUUAAGUAUAAUUUAGUUGAUUCAUUUGGUUUGUUAACAAAUUAGAAGUUUUUAGCUUGCGUUCGAAUGGCCGACAGGGAAUGGGGAAAUUCCUAAUAACAGGACGGCCGACUGUUAGCGUUUACAUUUUUAAAUACUAUUCUUGUAUUAAAUAAGUAACACUAUUUUCCAUUAUAAUGAUCUUAUUGUAAUUUAGCUAUUAUUCUGAGAUCUGGGAUUGACCAGAGUAUAGCUGGAACGGAGCAAUCGCUCAUUGUCUAUGGUUUGUCUGUGAUUCGAAAGAGGAAGUGAGAUCCGGUGCCGGCCAUCUUA
This is a non-coding RNA of Plutella xylostella (diamondback moth), 617 nucleotides long. The record is from RefSeq and is a predicted model, not a curated record. Lineage: Eukaryota; Metazoa; Arthropoda; Insecta; Lepidoptera; Plutellidae.